GGUGGAUUAACAGUGGGGAACAUUCAGAAAUCAAUCCCAGCGUCCUUUGGGAGAAACAUACCUCCCAUGGUUCGCAAGAUAGCAGUUCGCAGAUCAGCUCAGGUUCUUUACAACAACAAAGGUUACCACAGCAUGCCGACAUACCUGAACGUCCUGAAUAAUGCCAUCCUGCGCGCAAACCUGGCUGCAUCCAAGGGCAACCCUGCUGCCUAUGGCUUCACACUGACAAACCACCCAAUGAAUCGAACCAGUGCCAGCCUCUCUUUAGACUACUUG
This is a long non-coding RNA of Notothenia coriiceps (black rockcod), 276 nucleotides long. RefSeq lists it as uncharacterized. The transcript is spliced from 3 exons. The record is from RefSeq and is a predicted model, not a curated record. NCBI's taxonomy places the organism in Eukaryota, Metazoa, Chordata, Actinopteri, Perciformes, Nototheniidae.